This 495-nucleotide ribosomal RNA is filed under the name uncultured bacterium. RNAcentral describes it as "partial 16S ribosomal RNA". It matches the Rfam family "Bacterial small subunit ribosomal RNA", at positions 28 to 507 of the family's 1533-position model. The record is from RNAcentral.
GACGAACGCUGGCGGCGUGCCUAAUACAUGCAAGUAGAACGCUGAAGGAGGAGCUUGCUUCUCUGGAUGAGUUGCGAACGGGUGAGUAACGCGUAGGUAACCUGCCUGGUAGCGGGGGAUAACUAGUGGAAACGAUAGCUAAUACCGCAUAAUAGUAGAUGUUGCAUGACAUUUGCUUAAAAGGUGCAAUUGCAUCACUACCAGAUGGACCUGCGUUGUAUUAGCUAGUUGGGGGGGUAACGGCUCACCAAGGCGACGAUACAUAGCCGACCGGAGAGGGUGAUCGGCCAACAUGGGAAUGGGAAAAGGCCCAGGAUCCUAAGGGGGGCAGCAGGAGGGAAACUUCGGAAAUGGACGGAAGUCUGACCGCGCAAAGCCGCGGGAGGGAAGAAGGGUUUCGGAUCGGAAAGAUCUGUUGUAAGAGAAGAACGAGUGUGAGAGUGGAAACUUCACACUGUGACGGUAUCUUACCAGAAAGGACCGGCUAACUACGUG